This 1534-nucleotide ribosomal RNA is filed under the name Salmonella enterica subsp. enterica. Its description in RNAcentral is "partial 23S ribosomal RNA". It matches the Rfam family "Bacterial large subunit ribosomal RNA", at positions 711 to 2141 of the family's 2925-position model. The record is from RNAcentral. Lineage: Bacteria; Pseudomonadati; Pseudomonadota; Gammaproteobacteria; Enterobacterales; Enterobacteriaceae.
AGACCCGAAACCCGGUGAUCUAGCCAUGGGCAGGUUGAAGGUUGGGUAACACUAACUGGAGGACCGAACCGACUAAUGUUGAAAAAUUAGCGGAUGACCUGUGGCUGGGGGUGAAAGGCCAAUCAAACCGGGAGAUAGCUGGUUCUCCCCGAAAGCUAUUUAGGUAGCGCCUCGUGAACUCAUCUCCGGGGGUAGAGCACUGUUUCGGCUAGGGGGCCAUCCCGGCUUACCAACCCGAUGCAAACUGCGAAUACCGGAGAAUGUUAUCACGGGAGACACACGGCGGGUGCUAACGUCCGUCGUGAAGAGGGAAACAACCCAGACCGCCAGCUAAGGUCCCAAAGUCAUGGUUAAGUGGGAAACGAUGUGGGAAGGCCCAGACAGCCAGGAUGUUGGCUUAGAAGCAGCCAUCAUUUAAAGAAAGCGUAAUAGCUCACUGGUCGAGUCGGCCUGCGCGGAAGAUGUAACGGGGCUAAACCAUGCACCGAAGCUGCGGCAGCGAACGUAUCACCCAAGACAACUUUGCGGAGUUGACGAUUGACGGAGCGAAGCGACGUCAAAGCGUUCAUUAAAGUCGAGUUGGCUUAGGGAUACGUUCGUUGGGUAGGGGAGCGUUCUGUAAGCCAGUGAAGGUGUGUCGUGAGGCAUGCUGGAGGUAUCAGAAGUGCGAAUGCUGACAUAAGUAACGAUAAAGCGGGUGAAAAGCCCGCUCGCCGGAAGACCAAGGGUUCCUGUCCAACGUUAAUCGGGGCAGGGUGAGUCGACCCCUAAGGCGAGGCCGAAAGGCGUAGUCGAUGGGAAACGGGUUAAUAUUCCCGUACUUGGUGUUACUGCGAAGGGGGGACGGAGAAGGCUAUGUUGGCCGGGCGACGGUUGUCCCGGUUUAAGCGUGUAGGUGUGUGUUCCAGGUAAAUCCGGUUCACUUUAACACUGAGGCGUGAUGACGAGGCACUACGGUGCUGAAGCAACAAAUGCCCUGCUUCCAGGAAAAGCCUCUAAGCAUCAGGUAACAUCAAAUCGUACCCCAAACCGACACAGGUGGUCAGGUAGAGAAUACCAAGGCGCUUGAGAGAACUCGGGUGAAGGAACUAGGCAAAAUGGUGCCGUAACUUCGGGAGAAGGCACGCUGACACGUAGGUGAAGUGAUUUACUCAUGGAGCUGAAGUCAGUCGAAGAUACCAGCUGGCUGCAACUGUUUAUUAAAAACACAGCACUGUGCAAACACGAAAGUGGACGUAUACGGUGUGACGCCUGCCCGGUGCCGGAAGGUUAAUUGAUGGGGUCAGCGCAAGCGAAGCUCCUGAUCGAAGCCCCGGUAAACGGCGGCCGUAACUAUAACGGUCCUAAGGUAGCGAAAUUCCUUGUCGGGUAAGUUCCGACCUGCACGAAUGGCGUAAUGAUGGCCAGGCUGUCUCCACCCGAGACUCAGUGAAAUUGAACUCGCUGUGAAGAUGCAGUGUACCCGCGGCAAGACGGAAAGACCCCGUGAACCUUUACUAUAGCUUGACACUGAACAUUGAGCCUUGAUGUGUAG